This 76-nucleotide transfer RNA is filed under the name bacterium D16-54. Its description in RNAcentral is "tRNA-Thr". It matches the Rfam family "tRNA". Rfam says of the family: Transfer RNA (tRNA) molecules are approximately 80 nucleotides in length. Their secondary structure includes four short double-helical elements and three loops (D, anti-codon, and T loops). The record is from RNAcentral. RNAcentral also lists the same sequence under 1 other name.
GCUUCCGUAGCGCAGUUGGUAGCGCAUUUCACUCGUAAUGAAAGGGUCACCGGUUCGAGUCCGGUCGGAAGCUUCA